This is a long non-coding RNA of Clupea harengus (Atlantic herring), 1812 nucleotides long. The record is from Ensembl. Lineage: Eukaryota; Metazoa; Chordata; Actinopteri; Clupeiformes; Clupeidae.
CUGUCUUGCAAUUGCUAGGCUAAUCUUCGUAACUGUAGCAUAUCAAAUUUAUUAUAAUUUCACUUUACCACCGGAAAGAUUACCAGAGGACAAGAGGACUCUUCCAGUUUAUGAGAUAAGGCUUCCAAGUUAGUCUGUUAGAAAGCUAUCUAUGUAGCUACUAACAUUAGCGAGAUAAUGGUUGGAGAUUAACGUUAGCUCGAUUAACUUCUAUCUGCACUGCCAUCAACGUCUAGCCUCCUAUGUUAGGUUAGCUACAUUUCUAGUUUAGAAUCAAGUGUCUCUGAUAGAAAAUACAAAUCCCUUAGGUUAGGAGUUUGACAUCAAUUACUAUUACUGGUUUGUCAAAUGUUCUAGGUUAGUUGACUAGCUGUUAGCUUUAACAAACUUGCUAGAUAACUUUGAGGCAAUGAUAGGCAGACAUCUUACAUUAGCUGAUUCAGCCCAUUUAUCUCUAACAUGGAAUGAUCAAAAUGACUAUUUCAAUUUUUUGGUCAGGUAGAGACAGAAAGAAGGGCGUAAAAUGGUUAAUCCAUGUGAGUUUUCGAAUUUGUCGGAUGAUGAGGGAAAUGAUACAGAGAAGACGGAGAUGCAGGACAGCUCUCCCAGUCCAGCGCCAAGUUUUGAGGAGGAGGAUUGGGACACUGAAAUCAACCAGCUAAAUAUGCCUUAUGGCCCAGAAGACCUUGUUAUGGAAGAUCCCCAUCUUAAAAUGCCAUUCCACGUCCCCGAUCACAAGCUGUCAGAGGUCAAGUACAAACCGUCUAUUCACCAUGUACCACCAGUGCGUAUUAUCCAAACACAGAAAGUGGUCGUUGAAGGAGAUCAAUUUGAGGACGCGGAGGAAUGAAGAGAAACUUUAUUAUGAAAGUUGUUUCCUGUCCUGAGCAAUUUGCACUUCGGUCUCCAACCUUAAAGGACGAUUUUUUUUUAGUAAGUUAAUUAAGUCUGUGAUUUGUUCUGAGGAUGUAAUCACCAAUUAAAAACAACAACCUGUCAGAGGAAGAAGGAGGUCUACAUUUAUGUUUCUGGCAUUUGAAGGACAUUGAUGCUACGGUGCUAGAGCAGAGCAAGGACCGCACGGAUAAAUGAUAAGUGAGGAAGAGGCUUUUUAUGUUUCACUUGUAUUAAUCAGAAUCAUCAUAUUGCUUUGGGAAAAAAAGUUGCAUCAUCCUCCUGAAACCUGCAUACUAUAAUAAAAGUGCUGUGAAACAGGCUCUUUCUUAUUCUUUAUUUGUAGAAGAUAAAAUGUGUUUUUCUGAAGUUGCACUUUUUUAAUGCAAUGCAUUGCAAUGUAUCCAAAUGACCACAAAGUGGUAGUAUUGUUCAGUUUACUUUUUUUUUUUUUUAACUACUACAGUGAAAGAUGUCUGUAGAAAUUGAUAAAGCAAAUACCAAAUACAUAAUGGUUCUGUAGACACCUGGGUCAGUAAAGACACCCUUGUCAAUCAUUUGGUCAAAAGGUCUUUGUGUAUAUUGUCACACGAACAUAUUUAGGGGCGGGGCUCAUAGGUUCAUAGAGGUAAUGUUAUCUUAGGAGCCUUGACAUAGCAUAGAUAGUGUGAAAAGAAACCAUUCCUUUGAACAAUGCAAGCAUCAUUUGGCCUUGGUCACAUGGCAAUGCCAGCAGACUGGGAACCACUGUAAUACAUAUUCAUUCAUGAAGUACCCUGUAUUGCGUAGACUGGAGGGAAAUUUCUUUAAAAGUUUACUGUAUUCUUUAGGAAGUGUGAUGAUUUGUUAUUUAAUCGAUUCAAUUCAAGGGUGUUACUGAAACAGGUGACUGAACUUAAUGUUUUUGGAUCAGUCUGC